CUUUAAGACUAGUUUCAAGGUUUCUCGAAAGUUUAUUUGUCAGGCUUUUUGUUGUUGCUGUUUUUGCUCUGGUUUUCUUUUUGUUUGUUUUUUUGUUGUUGUUGUUGUUGUUGUUGUUUUGUCUUGUUUUUGUUUUUGUUUUGCCAAAAGUUGAAAGUUUCUUGGGAGAGGAGGUAUUUUAAAGACAUUCUCAUCCUUCCGGAAGGGAAAGUGCUCCAAAUCUGGAUCAAAGAAAGUUUGAAGGUCAUGUUUACCUCUUGUAUCACAAUCAUUCAUGUCUACUCCAAAACUACAGACUUUGUUUACUUCAAAACCCAAAGUCAACGGCCUCAUUUUUAUUUAUGCACUAGAACUCACCCUCCCGUUUGUAAUUGAAAAGUCUUACCUUGUUCCAUAAAUAUUUAAGCAUUUUGUUAAUAAUGUUUUGGUCUUAUAAAGCCGAUUUAAAAAUUAAGCCGAUCUUAACACACUCGCCCAUCUAUAGUUGUAAGGAAGUGUGAGAAGGAAUUUCCUUCUUGUUGUUUUUGUUUUGUUUGUUUGUUUGUUUGUUUGAGACAGGGUUUCUCUGUGUAGCCCUGGCUGCCCUGGAGCUCACUCUGUAGACCAGGCUAGCCUUGAACUCAGAGAAUCCACUGCCUCUGCCUCCUGAAUGCUGGGAUUAAAGGCACAUGCCACCUCCGCCAGGCAAGAAGGAAUUUCUUAAUAAAUGAGUUUACAUGUCUAAAUCGAGUAUAAGUUAUAUACAUUGUGUUGGAACCUUUUCUAUGUUUCUGUAUAAAGAUUUCUGACAAUUUUGUUUUUAAUGCCAUUGUGUUGCGAUAAUUUAGCUCCUUUGACUCAUUUGACAAAAUGCAUCUUUUAUGAAGAAGUACUCUUGACUUUGUUAUCUGUAUACUGAAAAUCAUGUCAGAGGUACCCAAAGACAAGUUUUUAUACAGAUAGACACCUAGUAAGCCCUGGUUUAUUACCCACUAACUUACUGUACUAUGUUCUCAGUGAAUCAUGAAGGACAAGAGUGGGCCACUGUAGAAUUGUCUUAAACUUUUCUUUAAAGGAGAAGAAACUAUAAGCUAAUCUAGUUGCCAAGUGGGAAUUCCUUAUUUAAUUUACCUCCUAUGCAAUGAUUAAUGCUGCGUGCGAGAUGUAUGGUUAAUAAGUUUCAGUAUAUUCACGAAAGAAAUGCCUUUCCAAGGUGUGAGAAGCAGCCAGUUGCAUUCUUUUGGGAAUUUACUGUACUGUUUCAAUGUGUUAAGUGCCUUGUUGUAAAGUAAAAUUAUAAGUCUAGAAUUCAUUAUUUUCCUGACCUAUUUUUCAUUAUGAUUAUCUACUGUGUGCUGUUGUAAUCAUUUUAUUAAAUGCUUACAUUUUAAUCA
Molecule: long non-coding RNA, 1373 nt
Filed under: Rattus norvegicus (Norway rat)
Lineage: Eukaryota; Metazoa; Chordata; Mammalia; Rodentia; Muridae
Description: long non-coding RNA NONRATT016878
Source: RNAcentral